UGCAUGAGAGAGAGAGAAAGAAAGGAGGGAGUGGGGGAGGAAAGAAGUGACAAAACAGUCCUUGUGCUUUGAGGUAGAGUCUGUAUCCAGGCACUAGUUAGUACCCGCAGGGCAGUAGCCAACCCUUAUUUUCUCCCAUCAGUCCUGCAGUAAAUGUGGUUAAUAAGCACUUUGAUCUAUUCUUUUUGAAAAAUCGGUCGCAGUCAAGAGACAGUGGACGCUGGUGUUUCUAACUCAGGCAGUGGACUUUUUCUUGGGAAAUAAACAGGAAGGAGAUGCUCAGGCCAGAAAUUGUUUUGUUCCUCUCCCUCCGCCCAUCACAGAGGCCCUGAGCGCCCGCCUUGUUUGCACUCAGCUGUGGACCCGGGCUGGGCUCUCAGCUCUCCCUACCACACACCAGCCAGUUCAGUUUCCUGACUCUCCGGUUCUGGCUUAGGCUUUCACGCCUCGCUUUAUUUCACUGAGCAGGCCUGAGCACGGUGCUCUCAAGGUGUUUUUUCAUUUCCAGGUCUUGAGGUCCAAGUGUCACCUGAGAUGCAUCCACUGGGUCUUUCUCUUGGUGGCUUGUUUCCUCGCGUGCUUCGUAGUCGUGGUCUGUAAACUCACACCAAGCUUGUUUUCCCUUAGGGCCUGGGGGUCCCACGUGCCCUGGGUUGUAUCUAUAGAGCAGUUUGAAGCUUGCCUCCACUGGGGAUGCCAAGGUUUUUCUCUGGGUCCCAGUAAGCUUGCUUAUUAAUUUUCUGGGAUAAGUCUCCAUGACUCCAGGCUUUGUACGGGUGCAUUUUGUGGCCCUGGACUCCCGUUUCCUUUUCCACCCCGGGCUCAGGUGGAUGGCAAGUCUUUUGGCUUUUUCAGAGACGAGUGGACAGAAAUUUUUCCCCGUGGGUUUUGAUAGGUAGAGUUUCUGUCUUUGUUUAUGGCUGUGGCAUUUCCUAAUUUCCAUGCCCGCAUCCUCUUGGACGCAUCAUAAUCUAAAAAUGUCUUUGUGACUAGCUCCUUUUUUCCUUCCCAUUUCCCAUGUUUGUGCUGUCAUCUUCCCUGGUGUUACACAGCUUUAGUUGUGGCCUGAUUCUUCCACCACAGAUUUCUUUGAGGGUCAAAGUUCCCUUCUGACCUUGGCUUUGGCUCCAAUCUCCAUGUUUUGAUAAGGAAUGUUCUCCAACUCCAGCACGUAAUGGCCCUUGCAAUUCAGACUUUCAUCCCUUCCUGAUUUACAAGUGCUUUGUUUACUUCUCAAGGUUUCUUUUUAUCUGCUUUAUCUUUUCUCAGUUCUCACAGACUGUUCGAGUGGAUGCUUAGGAAGUGGACAACUUGAGAGGUGUCUAGAAAUGGUUAAUUUAAGUCGGUUGUUUAAAUAAAUUGACAGUGCCUGAUGGUCAGUACACAGGAGAGGGAUCUGGUGGCCAAGUUGAACCCCUGCCCCAGGCCUGACUUAGUCACAUCACUUGGAUGAUCCAGCUCAGCUAAAGGUCUCGGGGCCUCUGGCUACUCAUCAGACACAUGGUGGCAGAGAGCCCUGGGCCAAGUUGUCCUGGUGUCUCUCUCACUUAACAAAUCCUUCCCUGUGGCUCCUGGCUCUGUGGACAUUGCUCCGUUCCAGCCCAUUGUGUUCAUAGGGCCCAAGGCUCCCAACGCCCCCUGCUUCCCCAGGAAGCCCCUCAACCUCAGAUCAUGGUCACGACCUGAUUCUGAAUCCCCUCUUUAUUCUUGGGGCUUCGUCUUUCUCGGCUUUGAAUUUUGCUAUGCAUUUACAUUUUGGGGGUUCUGUUUGGUCCAGCAUUUUAAUGUGUGCAAAGUAGGAGGGGGAAGUUCCCGUAUCCACCCAAGGUACCACGUCGACUAGAAGUAUCUGUUAGGUUUGUCGAGGGAGGAACACACUAGGCCAAGUUAGUAAAGCCAAAGGGAUUUAUUAAGGCAUCAGAGGGGCACGGGCUCCAGCCCUGACUGUGAGGAGGUGCCAGGCUUAUAAAGGAUCCAGGGUGGGAAUCUGUGGCUGGAUGGAGUUCAUGGCAGGGACUCGUGGCAGGAACGACGAAGAAGGAGGGCACAGUCAAGGGAGGGGUAGGGGGUCGAGUCCCAUGACAGAGGGCAGUUAAUCCUUGUAGGAGGUUAAUCUAUGCAGGCAGUUGUUUCCUGCAGGCCAUUGUUUCUUGCUGCCCAAUUUGAGCCUCCGCAUUCUAGGAAAGGGUGUCCACAGCAGGUCUCCAAGGUGAGCAGCCACAUUCAGGGGUGUGUGUGGGGGGGUCUGUUUCCAUCCUCUAGGGAACCCCUCAGUAUCUGAUAUGAUUAGCUAUGUACCUUUGAGCAAAACACUUAAUUUCUCUGAACCUAUUUCUUCAUCUUUAAAAUAAGUAGGUCCUGUAAUAGGAAUACCUACAAAACAGGCUGUUCGAAGAAUUCUGUGAGAUAGGCAUGGAAAGAGUUUAGCAUGUACGGUGCCUGGAACAUAGUAGAUGUUCGAUAAAUGGUUAAGUAUUAUCAUUUCCGCUUCUAUUAUACAUACAAAAAUUGUGAACUCAAAGAGAUUAAGGAACUUGCCUAAAGCCACACAGCACAUGAGUGGAAUAAACCCCAGGGGUCUGAGUCUUGUCGGUCCAGGAAUGGGGCAUGUGGUCAGCCAGGGGUCUUUAGGGCCCCAGGCAUCGUCUGAAUAUACCCUCACGAGGUACCCCAGGUGAGAACUGCCUAGGAGAACCCAGUCAGCCCCCAGAUUUGUGAGCAAAGUAAACAAUGGCUAUUAUUGUAAGCCCGUGUUUGGGGAAGGCUCGUCACAUGGUGGAAGACAACAGGAAUACUGUCCUAUUGCUUUACGAGGUGCAGAGGAGUCCUUGGGCAGACCCCGGAGAGAGUGCUGUAUCAUUCGUUCAUUCGUCCAUUUAUUCAACCAACCGACCUUGAGCCCCACCGGUGCCCCCGGCUCUUUGUCAGGCACUGAGGACCCAGUGGUAAACAGGACAGGCAAGACAGGAAACAAACAAACAAUUAAAUAAAAAAGGCAAUACCAGGCAGUGAUAAGUGCCAGGAAGAAAAUAAGGCACGAUGAAACAGAGGGAUAGAUGGAGUCCUUUCAACUCAGGUGAUCGGAGGCAUUUAAGGUGAGACGAAGGUCAGGAAGGAGUCAGAGCUGGCAGCAGAAUAGUCCAGGCAGAAAGAAUUGCCAGUGGAGACGCCCUAACGUGAGAGUGAGUUUGGUGUGUUUGAGCAUCCUUCAAGGCUGGUGUGGCUAGAGUAUAGUGAGUGUGGGAACAGGGGGCAGGAGAGGAUGGCAAGGGGUGUUGCAGGGGCACAAGGUGUCGGGAUUUGUAGGCCAAGGGAAAGAUUUCUGACUUUUUUUUCUGAAUGCGAAGGCACUGGUAGGUGUUUUAGCAAGGUGGUGUGUCCGUAAGAAUUGUAUAGGUUAUGCUGCAGUAGCAAAUAAAACCCCAAAUGGCAGUGGCUUCCCACAAUAGAAGCUUAUGUUCUUCUUCCACCACAGUCUACCGUGUGUCUGCUGGGUUUCCUCUAAGUGGCAACUCAGAAGCUUGGGCUGCCUCCACCUUGUGACACCAUCAUCUUGUAGCUUCAAGGUCACUGUGAUGCCGUCUAUCCAGGGACAGGUAGAAAGAGAAGAGAGGAUGGAGGGGGCCCCAGGUACUCAUCUGCCUUAACUGGAAGUAACGCACAUCACUUAGCUCACGUCCCACUGGCUAGAACUAGUCCCGUGGCCCAGCUAACCACAAGGGAGGCUGGGAAAUGUGAAAGAGCACGCAGAUAUGUCUGAGAGCUCCCAACAGUCUCUAUCACAGGUGGCAAUAGACUCUAUAUUAUGAGUCAGCACUCUGGUUACUAAAAAAAAAAAAAGUGAGUCAUGAGUGGUAGGAAGCCCAGCUAUGGUUAGGUUCUGAAAUUGUAGCCUAACUUCUUUUGCUUUCAGUUUGUCACUUGUGGCCUUAAGUGCUGGGCAGAUUUUACCUUCUGGAACAAAAUAUGCUGAAAGUUGUGUGCUGAAGGGAAUCUCAGGUCAAAGCCAAAGUCAAGGGUUCAAAAAUCAAAUGUUUACCUCAUACCUUUCAGAAGGGCCAUCAUCAAAAAGUCUACAAAUAACAAAUGCUGGAGAGGGUGUGGACAAAAGGGAACCCUCCUACACUGUUGGUGGGAAUGUAAAUUGGUGCAGCCACUAUGGAGAAUAGUGUGGAGGUUCCUUAAAAAACUGAAAAUGGAAGUUGCCAUAAAAUCCUAUAAUCCCACUCCUGGGCAUAUGUAUAGAAAAGACAGAAACUCUAAUUUAGAAAAGACACAUGUUGGAUGGGACCAGAGACUCUCAUACUGAGUGAAGUAAGUCAGAAAGAGAAAGACACAUACCAUAUGAUAGCACUUAUAUCUGGAAUCUAAUAUAAGGCACAAAUGAACCUUUCCACAGAAAAAAAUCAUGGACUUGGAGAAUAGACUUGUGGUUGCCAAGGGGGAGGGGGAGGGAGUGACGUGGUUGGGGAGCUUGGGGUUAAUAGAUAUAAACUAUUGCCUUUGGGAUGGAUUAGCAAUGAGAUCCUGCUGUGUAGCACCGGGCUAUGUAUAGUCACUUAUGAUGGAGCAUGAUAAUGUGAGAAAAAAGAAUGUAUACAUGUAUGUGUAACUGGGUCACCAUGCUGUACAGUAGAACAAAAUUGUAUAGGGGAAAUAACUACUAAAAAAAUAAUAAUAAAAAGCAAAAAAAAAGAAAGAAAGAAAAGAUACAUGCACCCCAGUGUUCUUAGCAGCACUAUUUAUAAUAGCCAAGAUGUGGAAGCAACAUAAGCAUCCAACAGCAGAUGAAUGGAUAAAGAAGAUGUGUACAUAUGGAAUAUUACUCAGCCAUAAAGAAGGGUAAAAUCAUACCAUUUGCAGCCACAUGGAUGGACCUAGAGAUUAUCAUACUAAGUGAAGUCAGACAGAGAAAGACAAAUAUCCUGACAUCACUUAUAUGUGGAAACUAAAAAAAAAAAAAAUACAAAUGAGAUUAUUUACAAAACAGAAACAGACUCAAAGACAUAGAAAAUAAAUUUAUGGUUACCAAA
Molecule: long non-coding RNA, 5033 nt
Filed under: Sus scrofa (pig)
Lineage: Eukaryota; Metazoa; Chordata; Mammalia; Artiodactyla; Suidae
Description: lncRNA (ENSSSCG00000060476.1)
Source: RNAcentral